UUUAUGGAGAGUUUGAUCCUGGCUCAGGAUGAACGCUGGCGGCGUGCCUAAUACAUGCAAGUCGAGCGAACAGACGAGGAGCUUGCUCCUUUGACGUUAGCGGCGGACGGGUGAGUAACACGUAGGUAACCUACCUAUAAGACUGGGAUAACUUCGGGAAACCGGAGCUAAUACCGGAUAAUAUUUCGAACCGCAUGGUUCGAUAGUGAAAGA
This 213-nucleotide ribosomal RNA is filed under the name Staphylococcus hominis. Its description in RNAcentral is "partial 16S ribosomal RNA". It matches the Rfam family "Bacterial small subunit ribosomal RNA", at positions 1 to 207 of the family's 1533-position model. The record is from RNAcentral. Lineage: Bacteria; Bacillati; Bacillota; Bacilli; Caryophanales; Staphylococcaceae.